This 483-nucleotide ribosomal RNA is filed under the name uncultured bacterium. RNAcentral describes it as "partial 16S ribosomal RNA". It matches the Rfam family "Bacterial small subunit ribosomal RNA", at positions 30 to 506 of the family's 1533-position model. The record is from RNAcentral.
AUUGAACGCUGGCGGCAGGCCUAACACAUGCAAGUCGAGCGGAUGAAGGGAGCUUGCUCCUGGAUUCAGCGGCGGACGGGUGAGUAAUGCCUAGGAAUCUGCCUGGUAGUGGGGGAUAACGUCCGGAAACGGGCGCUAAUACCGCAUACGUCCUGAGGGGGAAAGUGGGGGAUCUUCGGACCUCACGCUAUCAGAUGAGCCUAGGUCGGAUUAGCUAGUUGGUGGGGUAAAGGCCUACCAAGGCGACGAUCCGUAACUGGUCUGAGAGGAUGAUCAGUCACACUGGAACUGAGACACGGUCCAGACUCCUACGGGAGGCAGCAGUGGGGAAUAUUGGACAGUGGGCGAAAGCCUGAUCCAGCCAUGCCGCGUGUGUGAAGAAGGUCUUCGGAUUGUAAAGCACUUUAAGUUGGGAGGAAGGGCAGUAAGUUAAUACCUUGCUGUUUUGACGUUACCAACAGAAUAAGCACCGGCUAACUUCGU